AGGACGAACGCUAGCGGCGUGCCUAAGGUAUGCAAGUCGAACGGACCCGCAAGGGUUAGUGGCGAACGGUUGAGUAACACGUAGACAACCUGCCUCGAAGUGGGGGACAACAGCGGGAAACUGCUGCUAAUACCGCAUGUGGCCCUGUUCCGCCUGGGACAGUGGCUAAAGGCGCAAGUCGCUUCGAGAUGGGUCUGCGGCCUAUCAGUUUGUUGGUGGGUAACGCCUACCAAGACGACGACGGGUAGCUGGUCUGAGAGGAUGAUCAGCCAGACGGGGACUGAGACACGGCCCCGACUCCUUCGGGAGGCAGCAAUGAGGAAUAUUGCGCAAUGGGCGAAAGCCUGACGCAGCGACGCCGCGUGGGUGAGGAAGUCUUUCGGAUGUAAAGCCCUUUGUCGGGACGAUCACAGACGGUACCCGAGAAUAAGCCCGGCUAACUACGUGCCAGCACGCCG
RNAcentral lists this ribosomal RNA (458 nucleotides) under uncultured soil bacterium. Its description in RNAcentral is "bacterial SSU rRNA". It matches the Rfam family "Bacterial small subunit ribosomal RNA", at positions 26 to 517 of the family's 1533-position model. The record is from RNAcentral.